CUUGACCACUGGAAGUGCCUUUUAAUAAAGGCUGAGACCGAAGUAGCAACUGAGGGAUUCCUUGAACCUGAUCCAGCUUAUACUGGCGUAGGAAAGUGGCGUUAUAGACAA
RNAcentral lists this non-coding RNA (111 nucleotides) under Staphylococcus succinus. Its description in RNAcentral is "TPP sequence". It matches the Rfam family "TPP riboswitch aptamer (THI element)". Rfam says of the family: Vitamin B(1) in its active form thiamin pyrophosphate (TPP) is an essential coenzyme that is synthesised by coupling of pyrimidine and thiazole moieties in bacteria. The record is from RNAcentral. Lineage: Bacteria; Bacillati; Bacillota; Bacilli; Caryophanales; Staphylococcaceae.